RNAcentral lists this unclassified non-coding RNA (206 nucleotides) under Hevea brasiliensis (rubber tree). Lineage: Eukaryota; Viridiplantae; Streptophyta; Magnoliopsida; Malpighiales; Euphorbiaceae. The record is from RNAcentral.
AAUAAUUAAAAAAUUUCAAGUUUAUGAAGUAAAAAACAUACAGGACAACAUCUUUUAUCAUCUUCUAUCACUUGAGUAGACACAAUUGGAUUAUUCAUUUUAAUUACAUAAGUAACUUCGUCAAAAGGAAAGCAGACAUUGAGUUUAAAGGAAAACAUAUGGUCUCAUUAACAUGAAAGCCAUACUGUUAAUUAUGGCAAAGAGUA